RNAcentral lists this ribosomal RNA (809 nucleotides) under Micrococcus sp. RNAcentral's name for it is "bacterial SSU rRNA". It matches the Rfam family "Bacterial small subunit ribosomal RNA", at positions 59 to 880 of the family's 1533-position model. The record is from RNAcentral. Lineage: Bacteria; Bacillati; Actinomycetota; Actinomycetes; Micrococcales; Micrococcaceae.
CAGUCGACGAUGAAGCCCAGCUUGCUGGGUGGAUUAGUGGCGAACGGGUGAGUAACACGUGAGUAACCUGCCCUUAACUCUGGGAUAAGCCUGGGAAACUGGGUCUAAUACCGGAUAGGAGCGCCUACCGCAUGGUGGGUGUUGGAAAGAUUUAUCGGUUUUGGAUGGACUCGCGGCCUAUCAGCUUGUUGGUGAGGUAAUGGCUCACCAAGGCGACGACGGGUAGCCGGCCUGAGAGGGUGACCGGCCACACUGGGACUGAGACACGGCCCAGACUCCUACGGGAGGCAGCAGUGGGGAAUAUUGCACAAUGGGCGCAAGCCUGAUGCAGCGACGCCGCGUGAGGGAUGACGGCCUUCGGGUUGUAAACCUCUUUCAGUAGGGAAGAAGCGAAAGUGACGGUACCUGCAGAAGAAGCACCGGCUAACUACGUGCCAGCAGCCGCGGUAAUACGUAGGGUGCGAGCGUUAUCCGGAAUUAUUGGGCGUAAAGAGCUCGUAGGCGGUUUGUCGCGUCUGUCGUGAAAGUCCGGGGCUUAACCCCGGAUCUGCGGUGGGUACGGGCAGACUAGAGUGCAGUAGGGGAGACUGGAAUUCCUGGUGUAGCGGUGGAAUGCGCAGAUAUCAGGAGGAACACCGAUGGCGAAGGCAGGUCUCUGGGCUGUAACUGACGCUGAGGAGCGAAAGCAUGGGGAGCGAACAGGAUUAGAUACCCUGGUAGUCCAUGCCGUAAACGUUGGGCACUAGGUGUGGGGACCAUUCCACGGUUUCCGCGCCGCAGCUAACGCAUUAAGUGCCCCGCCUGGGGAG